This 64-nucleotide small nuclear RNA is filed under the name Rattus norvegicus (Norway rat). RNAcentral's name for it is "U4 spliceosomal RNA". It matches the Rfam family "U4 spliceosomal RNA", at positions 1 to 64 of the family's 138-position model. Rfam says of the family: U4 small nuclear RNA (U4 snRNA) is a component of the major U2-dependent spliceosome. The structure of U4 snRNA from yeast and human has been reported. U4 snRNA presents a k-turn RNA motif in the 5p-SL related to recognition of Snu13 protein. The record is from Rfam by way of RNAcentral. Lineage: Eukaryota; Metazoa; Chordata; Mammalia; Rodentia; Muridae.
AGCUUUGCGCAGUGGCAGUAUCGUAGCCAAUGAGGUUUAUCCAAGGUGCGAUUAUUGCUAAAAG